This 125-nucleotide small RNA is filed under the name Marmota monax (woodchuck). The record is from RNAcentral. Lineage: Eukaryota; Metazoa; Chordata; Mammalia; Rodentia; Sciuridae.
GCCGGGAGUGGUGGUGCACACCUGUAAUCCCAGUGGCUCAGGAGGCUGAGGCAGGAGGAUUGCUAGUUCAAAACCAGCCUCAGCAACAGCAAGGCACUAAGCAACUCAGUGAGACCCUGUCUCUA